GUAAAGGUAGUUUAACAAAAACAUUAGAUUGUGAUUCUAAAUAUAGAGGUUUGAACCCUCUCAUUCACC
Monopterus albus (swamp eel) is the source of this 69-nucleotide non-coding RNA. Lineage: Eukaryota; Metazoa; Chordata; Actinopteri; Synbranchiformes; Synbranchidae. The record is from Ensembl.